UGAUGAUCAGGGGACACGUACAGGCUUUAUUAGUAGUACUCUUGGUUGUUAUAGAAGAAGAAUUGUUGUUGUUAUAGAAGAGGAGGUUUUGUUAUAGAAGAGGAUGUGUUGUUAUAGAAGAGGUGGUGUUGUUAUAGAAGAGGCGUGUUGUUAUAGAAGAGGUGGUGUUGUUAUAGAAGAGGAGGUGUUGUUAUAGAAGAGGAUGUGUUGUUAUAGAAGAGGAGGUGUUGUUAUAGAAGAGGAGGUAUUGUUAUGGAAAAUGGAGUGUUGUUAUAGAAGAGGAGAUGUUGUUAUAGAAGAUGGUUGUUGUUAUUGUGUUCAUAAUGACUUUUCUGUAGACAAUGCAUGGCUCAGGUGAAGGCUACACACUAUUAGUGGAAGGGUUGAUUUCACUUGAGAAUAUAAAGAUGACAAAGCUGC
Molecule: long non-coding RNA, 420 nt
Filed under: Salmo salar (Atlantic salmon)
Lineage: Eukaryota; Metazoa; Chordata; Actinopteri; Salmoniformes; Salmonidae
Description: lncRNA (ENSSSAG00000100618.1)
Source: RNAcentral